GUCCAAGUGGCCUAAUGGAUAAGGCACUGGCCUCCUAAGCCAGGGAUUGAGAGGUCGACUUCCAUCUAGGGUG
This 73-nucleotide transfer RNA is filed under the name Astyanax mexicanus (Mexican tetra). It matches the Rfam family "tRNA". From Rfam's summary of the family: Transfer RNA (tRNA) molecules are approximately 80 nucleotides in length. Their secondary structure includes four short double-helical elements and three loops (D, anti-codon, and T loops). Further hydrogen bonds mediate the characteristic L-shaped molecular structure. tRNAs have two regions of fundamental functional importance: the anti-codon, which is responsible for specific mRNA codon recognition, and the 3' end, to which the tRNAs corresponding amino acid is attached (by aminoacyl-tRNA synthetases). tRNAs cope with the degeneracy of the genetic code in two manners: having more than one tRNA (with a specific anti-codon) for a particular amino acid; and 'wobble' base-pairing, i.e. permitting non-standard base-pairing at the 3rd anti-codon position. The record is from Rfam by way of RNAcentral. Lineage: Eukaryota; Metazoa; Chordata; Actinopteri; Characiformes; Acestrorhamphidae.